AAGUAAAUAAUGUAAAUAUAUAAUAUAUGAAUUAUCUAUAUAAUAAUAAGUAAAUACACAACUUUUUUUAAAAAAUGGAAAAAGUUCAUUAAGCAUUAAACAUCUAUCUUAAAAUGUAAAAUAUAUAAUAUAAGUUAAUACACAAUUUGAAAAAAUGGAAAAAGUACAUUAAGAUUUAAAUAUCUAUUUUAAAAUAUAAAAUAUAGAUAUUACGUAAAAAAAUUUAAGAAAUGGAAAUAAACAUUUUAAAAAAUAGAAAAAGAACAUUAAGAUUUAAGCAUCUAUCUUAAAAUGUACAUCUAUCUUAAAAUGGUAGUAAAUUAUAUUAAAAUGGAAAUACCAUAUUAAACAAAAAAAAAUAAAAAUGUAUAGUUUUACAUCAAGAAAGUCCCUAUAAAACUCAUUAUAACAUCAACAUCAACCUCACACUAUGAUGGAUUGGUGAGUCUAACGUGAAGACAAAAAUAUAAAUAU
This 474-nucleotide long non-coding RNA is filed under the name Brassica rapa (field mustard). Its description in RNAcentral is "long non-coding RNA (BRAP_LNC001415)". The record is from RNAcentral. Lineage: Eukaryota; Viridiplantae; Streptophyta; Magnoliopsida; Brassicales; Brassicaceae.